AUGGUUACAAAUUCUGUUAAAAUUUUCCUAGAUGUUCUUUUAUACAUAGGCUCAGCUACAAAUUUUUGUAUUUCUAAAGCAAACAAAGAUUUCUCUUUAGAUCAAAGUCAUUUCUUUUCUUUUUUCCUCUUUUUCUCCUACAGUGCACAUACGCAUAUAUCGGUAAUUUGUAUCAUACAAGAGCAUGAAUUGAGAAUGUCUAAAAGGAUUGCAGUUUCAGCCACAAUUUUAUUUGAAGACUCAUGAUCCAUGCAGCUUCCUCAUUUCACAUUAUGUAGAAAAGCCACACGGCUCAUCUGAGGUUACUGAAUUGGCGAGGAGGCACUAACUAAAAUCCAGGUGUCACAGUUUGCUGCACAACCAUCCCCUUUACAUUUGUGUGCAGGAUUACCCUGCUGUAUGAGGGUAAAACGAACACACUCUUCCUCCAGGUAAAUAACUUUAGGAUGCAUUAUCCUUAGCAGAGAAUGUUCUUCUCAUAAUACAAAUGUGACACUCAUUGUUUCUCUUUAAUAUAAAUAAUUAGACAAGAAGUCUUGAAAUAAGAAAAGGUAAAAACACAUGGGAAAAAUAUAUAUUCUUUAAUGAUGUUGUUUUGUAGAUGUUUCAUGUCUUACUUCAAGUGUGCCUAACAAAGCCUUUUCUAUUAAAUAAGGAUAAAACCAGAUGACCCUUUAAGAAGGUAACCAAUAUUAAAAGCAUCUUACCUCAUUGUUCUGGAUUGAGCACAUUCGACUAUUAUUGGAAACAACUGCCCCAUAACCACCAAAAUCACCAUUAUCCUGUUGCACAGACAUUUCAGGCUAUGUUUCCAAAGUACUUUUAAAUCAUUUUUAUUAGUUAUUACCCUGUGCUCUAGUUUUUUAAUUGGCAGACAUUGCGUCUCAGUGCCAUGUUCCUAAUUAAAUCCCCAGACUAAACUGUGAAAACUGCCCCCAUAUUUUUACACGACGUGGACGCCAUUUGAAAAGGGAAUACAUGAAUUUUAAUUAUGUUGUUCAUCUUUAUGCAAUGGAGCCAAUCACUAGAUUUUAGAAAAAUAUAUUCCACCCAAGUUUGUCUAAAAUGUUCCUACAUUGGGGUUAUUGUAUUCUACAAUUCUAUGCCUUGUGAAACAAGCUUUUUUUUUUUUUUUUUUUAAAUUCCCUUUAUUAACCUUGAGAACAUCAAGCUAUGUGAAAUAAACUUAUCACAAGAGAAGAAAUAUGUGAUCCCAUUGAUAGGAGGCUUCUAAAGUCAUCAGCUUUGUGGAAUCCAGUUCAUUCAGAAAAUAGAAUGGUGUUUCCCAGGGGUUGGGGCAGGGGGAAUGGGAAGUUGUUGUUUAAUAGGCACAGAGUCCCCAUUUUGCAAGAUGAAAAGAAUUCUGCAAGAUCAUGUUCUUUGCAGUGAUAGGGAUGGAGCUGGAGGCUAUUAUCCUAAGCAAACUAACGCAGAAACAGAAAACUAAGUACCAUAUGUUUGCACUUAUCAAUGGGAGCUAAACAAUGAGGAGGCAUGGACACAUAGAGGAUAACACCACACAAUGGAACAUUCUUGAGGGUGGGAGGUGGGAAGAGGAAAGGGAUCAGAAAAAACACCGAGCUGGUGCUAUGCUUAUUACCUGGCUGAGAAAACAAUCUGUACACCACACCCCUGUGAGCCACAGUUUACCUAUUGUAUUAGUCUAUUUCCAUGCCGCUGUAAAGAACACCCUGAGACUGGGUAAUUUAUAAAGGAAAGAGAUUUAAUUGAUUCACAGUUCUGCAUGGGUGGGGAGGCCUCGGGAAACUUACAAUCAAGAUGGAAGGUGAAGGGGAAGCAAGCACCUUCUUUACAAGGUGGCAGGAAGGAGAGGGAGAGCAGGGGAAACUGUCACUUAUAAACUAUCAGAUCUCGUGAGAACCCCCUCACUAUCACGAGAACAGCAAGGGGGAAACAAACCCCAUGAUCCAAUCACCUCCCACUGGGUCUCUCCCUGAACACCUGGGGAUUACAACUGGAGAUGGGUGGGGACAGAGACCCAAACCAUAUCACCUAAAUAACAGACCUACACAUGUAUGCCUGAGCCUAAAAUUAAAGUUAAAAGUAAAGAAGAGAGUUCUGGAGAUUUGCUUCCUCAACAAUGUGAGUGUUCUUAAUUACUACUGAACUGAACACUUUAGAAUGGUUAAAAUGGCACAUUUUAGGCUGUGUGUAUUUUACCAUAAUUAAAAAACUUUAAAAAGUUCCUUUAAACUGAUAAGUGUAUCCUCACUGUACAAAAAUAAUGUGGGGAAGCAACAGAGAAAGUGUUAUUACUUGGAGUAUUGAUUUCCAGGAGUUUGUGGUCCUGCAAGUUUGAAUAAACCCCAGUAGAAAACAUGACUAUUGCCAAGGCGGAUUCCAUGGAAUAGUUGUCAUGGUAGUAUUCCAGCAGCCACACGCUGGGUCAUAUGAAUCUAGUAGUUUCUGAGUUGAAUUUUUUUUUCCCCUUUGAGACAGGGUCUCGUCCUAUAACCCAGAGUGGAGUGUAGUGGCAUGAUCAUGGUUCACUGUAGCCUCAACCUUGUGGGCUCAGUUCAUCCUCCCGCCUCAGCCACCCGAGUAGCUGGAACUACAGGUGCACGCCACCAUCCCCAGCUAAUUUUUACAUUUUUUGUAGAGAUGAGGUUUUGCCAUGUUGCCCAGACUGGUCUGGAACUCCUGGGCUCAAGCAAUCCUCUCAAAGUGCUGGGAUUACAGGCAUGAGCCACCGCACCCUGUGGCAGUUACAUUCUUAAAGCAAGGAUUGGGAAAGAGAAUAUCGUUGAAAGGUUUCUAUCUGACUGAAAUCUUAGAACUCUUCCUAUUCGAUUUUUUCCAGUUCAGUUUCAAACUCCUGCAUGUGGAGUGAAGGGGGAAAGCGAGGUUAAUAACCACAGGAUGAUCCUUUACCAGUGAGGCCGUGAGGGAACUGGGCUUCCUGACCUGAGGAUUCAGACUUGCUCCACUUCAUUGCAAAGAAACUAGUCAUGCAUCUUCUGCCAUAGGGCUUAAUGAUUUAUCAUCUUCUGGUACUUUGUCGAGAUGACAACAGGCAUCACAUCGUUUAUUUUUCUCUAUGGAAUCCAUAUGAGGUGGAGCCGAUGGAGCACUCUGCAACCUACCUAUGCAACCUACUGCAUUGAACGAUAUCUAUUGCUUCAGACAUAAGAAUGAUUUUGCAAGAUGAAUUCGGGCUUGUUUGUAUUUGAGCUGGCAAAGAAUAGAGAAGUGUCUCUGAUGGAAAUUGCAUUUGUGCAGGGAGAGGUAACACAUGCGACUGAGUCAGGGAUCAUAAGAGCAAAUAGGUGAAAUUUCACAGUCCCUACUGGAAAUCUGGCUACACAUAUUUUAUCCUCUAAAAUCCUUCUGAGGAUUAAGUGGUAUUAUGCACUGCCUAUUGUUUUUCUCUAAAUCCUGUCUUGUAGAAGGCAAUGUCAAUAAAAUAGCACGCAGAACGGCUGGGCCAUCCUUCAUUGCCAGCUGAUCCCACAAAGCAUUUUAUGAACAUCUCAGACAAAAGAUGGUUCUAUCCUCAUGGAAUUAAAUCAAAUUAGUCCCCUCCUUAAAGCUCCCAAUGGGGAUAGCACUUACAAUGAUGGUUGAAAUGAAGGAACUCACCUAAAUCAAAUAAGGUAAUGCAUGUGAAAUGAUUCCGUAAGCUUCAACAGAUAAAUUUCAGUUAUUUGGCUAAUUUUAAUAGUAUUAUUACUACUAAAAUUACUAUUCAUAAGGCAACUUAGACCAUCCUUGAUACUUU
Molecule: long non-coding RNA, 3739 nt
Filed under: Macaca mulatta (Rhesus monkey)
Lineage: Eukaryota; Metazoa; Chordata; Mammalia; Primates; Cercopithecidae
Description: lncRNA (ENSMMUG00000056604.1)
Source: RNAcentral